UGAAGCGGGAAAAGCUCAAAUUUAAAAUCUGGCGGUGUUUUACCGUCCGAAUUGUAUCCUAGAGAAGUGUUACCCGGACUGGACCAUGUAUAAGUCUCCUGGGAUGGAGCGUCAUAGAGGGUGAGAAUCCCGUCUUUGACAUGGACUACCAGUGCAAUUGUGGUGUGCUCUCAAAGAGUUGAGUUGUUUGGGAAUGCAGCUCUAAAUGGGUGGUAAAUUCCAUCUAAAGCUAAAUAUUGGCGAGAGACCGAUAGCGAACAAGUACCGUGAGGGAAAGAUGAAAAGAACUUUGGAAAGAGAGUUAAACAGUAUGUGAAAUUGUUGAAAGGGAAACGUUUGAAGUCAGUCAUAUUGUUCGGGGAUCAAGCUAGCAUAUUUGCUGGGUGUAGUUCCUGGGCAAUGGGCCAACAUGAGUUUUGACUGCUGGAAAAAGGGAUUGGGAAUGUGGCACCUUCGGGUGUGUUAUAGCUCAAUGUCAUAUACAGGAGUUGGGACUGAGGAAGGCAGCGUGCCGCAAGGCCGGGGUUUUAACCACGUUCGCGCUUACGAUGUUGGCAUAUAUGG
This 564-nucleotide ribosomal RNA is filed under the name Amanita luteofolia. Its description in RNAcentral is "eukaryotic LSU rRNA". It matches the Rfam family "Eukaryotic large subunit ribosomal RNA", at positions 94 to 637 of the family's 3401-position model. Lineage: Eukaryota; Fungi; Basidiomycota; Agaricomycetes; Agaricales; Amanitaceae. The record is from RNAcentral.